Molecule: long non-coding RNA, 633 nt
Organism: Frieseomelitta varia
Lineage: Eukaryota; Metazoa; Arthropoda; Insecta; Hymenoptera; Apidae
Exons: 3
Source: RefSeq, a predicted model, not a curated record
UGGAAGUGUCGCGUUAGGUUGACAGUGUUCGAAAAAUGUCGUGUCAACUGCUUAAUUACCAGUUUCUUCGCAUUUUAUGACUUCAAGAGAACAGGAAUCCGUAGACGAUAUGAGUUAAUAAUAAUCUAUUUCUAUCGGAAAAUCUUCGAUUUAUGAUAACGAAGAGAGAUGUUUAUUAUAUUGCAUCCAGAAUACAACUACAACUACAAUAUAAGGAGAAGAAAAAAUAUAAAACUUAUUUAAAUAUAAUAUUUAACUUUAUUAACUAAUAUUUGACUUUUUCACUGGUCCUCCUCCAUCUCCUUCCCAAAUAUCUUUAUUUUUUUUAUAUUUGUGACUGCGCGCAAUGCAGUCUGUAGAGUCAGUAUUUUCUGCGUAAAGUUACUUUACAUAUUUUUCAGUGUACGAUAGUUCUUAACAAUAUAAUGUAAUUUUAAUCGGAAUUCAUACAUGUAAUUAGAGUUAGUGUUUGUCAGUAGUUUUUUAUUUUUCUUUUUUUAAAUAUUUAUAGUGAUAUUAGUCAGUGCUCAAGAGGAUAAAGCCUCUCCAGGAAUUCAAGAAUGUAAGUAUUUUUGUACAUUGAUUCUAAUUUAGAUAUUUGAAUUUUUUUCCCAAACGAAGUCUUAGAUUUCU